This 346-nucleotide ribosomal RNA is filed under the name uncultured bacterium. RNAcentral's name for it is "partial 16S ribosomal RNA". It matches the Rfam family "Bacterial small subunit ribosomal RNA", at positions 338 to 681 of the family's 1533-position model. The record is from RNAcentral.
CCUACGGGAGGCAGCAGUGAGGAAUAGUGGUCAAUGGACGCAAGUCUGAACCAGCCAUGCCGCGUGCAGGAAGACGGCGCUAUGAGUUGUAAACUGCUUGUGUACGAGGGUAAACGCAGAUACGCGUAGCUGUCUGAAAGUAGCGUACGAAUAAGGAUCGGCUAACUCCGGGCCAGCAGCCGCGGUAAUACGGAGGAUUCAAGCGUUAUCCGGAUUUAUUGGGUUUAAAGGGUGCGUAGGCGGUCGGAUAAGUUAGAGGUGAAAUCCCGAGGCUCAACUUCGGAAUUGCCUCUGAUACUGUUCGGCUCGAGCGUAGUUGCGGUCGGCGGAUUGUCUGUUGUAGCGG